UGUUCUCUUCCCUGAGAAUGGGCACCUUGAGUCACUGAGCUGGUGAGGUGAUGAGGUGUCUGAAAUUUCUUACAGGAAAAGUGACCAGGUUCUGAACCUGACAUGAGAGGUGUGCAGCCUUGUGCAGGCAUUGGGGUGGGGGAGCCAUGAGGUAGCAGGUAAAACCCAUCCACAGAUGAAAGCUGCAGGGUGGAGCAGACGGGAGACCCAGGAGGCACGGAGGCAGGAACUUGUAGCCCUUGAUCUUGGCACUGUGUCUUAUAGGGACUGAAAUUUGGCUAAUGGGCUUGAUUUAUAUCCAUCCUUCCCAGACCUGUUAGAGUGACUGCUGCUUCUGCCCUUGAAGUCUUCUCUACCCUGUGGAAAACAGGUAGGUGAUGGGUCUAAAAAUAGUACUCAUGCAGCCAGCCACAGUUGGGCGAGGGAUGGAGACGCGUUUUCCUGCAGUGACUGAAGGAAGGUGGAGGAGGGAGAAGGAACACUGCUUAUUUUGGUUUCAGAAGUUCUUGGCAAGAACUCCCUCUAAUUUUAAAUGAAAAAGACGCCUCCAGCUGGUGGAAAUGCCGGGAGCCCACCUUCCACAGUCAUGUUUUCUGAGCCAUUUUUCAAUACAUAGACCAACUUGUCCCUUGGAAC
Molecule: long non-coding RNA, 636 nt
Filed under: Marmota monax (woodchuck)
Lineage: Eukaryota; Metazoa; Chordata; Mammalia; Rodentia; Sciuridae
Source: RNAcentral